RNAcentral lists this ribosomal RNA (554 nucleotides) under uncultured bacterium. Its description in RNAcentral is "partial 16S ribosomal RNA". It matches the Rfam family "Bacterial small subunit ribosomal RNA", at positions 355 to 895 of the family's 1533-position model. The record is from RNAcentral.
UGGGGAAUUUUGGACAAUGGGGGAAACCCUGAUCCAGCCAUCCCGCGUGUGCGAUGAAGGCCUUCAGGUUGUAAAGCACUUUUGGCAGGAAAGAAACGUCGCGGGUUAAUACCCCGCGAAACUGACGGUACCUGCAGAAUAAGCACCGGCUAACUACGUGCCAGCAGCCGCGGUAAUACGUAGGGUGCAAGCGUUAAUCGGAAUUACUGGGCGUAAAGCGUGCGCAGGCGGUUCGGAAAGAAAGAUGUGAAAUCCCAGAGCUUAACUUUGGAACUGCAUUUUUAACUACCGGGCUAGAGUGUGUCAGAGGGAGGUGGAAUUCCGCGUGUAGCAGUGAAAUGCGUAGAUAUGCGGAGGAACACCGAUGGCGAAGGCAGCCUCCUGGGAUAACACUGACGCCAUCAUGCAGAAGGAAGCGUGGGGGGAAGCAAACAGGAUUAGAUACCCUGGUAGUCCACGCCCUAAACGAUGUCAACUAGCUGUUGGGGCCUUCGGGCCUUGGUAGCGCAGCUAACGCGUGAAGUUGACCGCCUGGGGAGUACGGUCGCAAGAUU